AGUGAACGCUGGCGGCAUGCUUUACACAUGCAAGUCGAACGGCAGCGCGGGCUGCGUCCUGGCUGCGGGGGGCGAACGGGCGAGUAAUACAGCGGAACGUGCCCAGCUGCGUGGGAUAGGGCGGCGAAAGCCGGAAUAAUACCGCAAAAGACCUGAGGGUGAAAGGGGGGGAUCAUCGGACCUUGGGCCAUUGGAGGGGCCGAUGGCCGAUUAGCUAGUUGGUGGGGUAAAGGCCUACCAAGGCGACGAUCUGUAGCUGGUCUGAGAGGACGAGCAGCCACACUGGAACUGAGACACGGCCCAGACUCCUACGGGAGGCAGCAGUGGGGAAUUUUGGACAAUGGGCGCAAGCCUGAUCCAGCAAUGCCGCGUGUGUGAUGAAGGCCUUCGGGUUGUAAAGCACUUUUGGCGGGAACGAAAAGGACUGUGCCAAUACCACGGUUCGAUGACGGUACCCGAAGAAUAAGCACCGGCUAACUACGUG
Molecule: ribosomal RNA, 484 nt
Filed under: uncultured bacterium
Lineage: Bacteria
Description: partial 16S ribosomal RNA
Rfam family: Bacterial small subunit ribosomal RNA
Source: RNAcentral